UGUUUUCUGGUCUGAGCUGAUUUGAAGACCAGAAAGGACUACUGCCUGCAGUAGUUGGUAGCCUAGUUCCUGCACUGGUUCUCUGGCCAGUUUCUUGACAAGGGGGCUGAGCUGACUACCAUCCCCAGUUGUGUUUUCCCAGGAGGAAGACUGCAUUUCCCAUGAGCACCAUUACUCCCCGUAAAAUGAAGCUCUUCACAAAGCGUGCAUUUGUUGUGGCUGCAGUUACAUAAAAUACAGACCUCCUCUUCGACACCACUUUUCUUUGUUCAAGUGGACUUCCUGAAGGAUGCAGAGUGAGUGCUACAAAAACUAUUAACUUUAACGUAACAGCAACAAAACUUCCUGUAGGUCAACCCCGUCCUCUGACCAGGGUCUCAAUGCUAAGUAUGAACAUGAUGAGUCUCGAUCACAACAGAGUGUGGGACAUUCAACUUGUGAAGGCUAUCUGAAGGUCAUCCGAAAAGUUGUGACACUGAUGUUACCUGCAACCUGACUGGGUGGCAGCCCUGACAACACUGUGAAUGAUAGGACCACUGAUGGAGAGGCCAAGGUGAGGUCAAGGAUCCAAAGGAGAAAGAGCACUUCUUUUCCUUUACAGAUGGAGCUUUCAGAUAACACGCCCCAGCUUUAAGUACCUCAUCAGAGGAGGUUAUUGCUUGGUUUUGGGUUGUGUUUAAGGUACUUGGUGGGUAUUUGUUUUUUCUGUUUAUUUGUAAUAAAAAACAAAAGGUUUAACGUGA
Long non-coding RNA from Notolabrus celidotus (New Zealand spotty), 743 nucleotides. RefSeq lists it as uncharacterized. NCBI's taxonomy places the organism in Eukaryota, Metazoa, Chordata, Actinopteri, Labriformes, Labridae. The record is from RefSeq and is a predicted model, not a curated record. The transcript is spliced from 4 exons.